CUAGCGGGACGGGCCCCUCUGGCGGCGCUUCGGCGGCGUGAUGUCGGACCGCAUUC
This is a non-coding RNA of Brevundimonas diminuta ATCC 11568, 56 nucleotides long. The record is from Rfam. Lineage: Bacteria; Pseudomonadati; Pseudomonadota; Alphaproteobacteria; Caulobacterales; Caulobacteraceae.